Long non-coding RNA from Chroicocephalus ridibundus (black-headed gull), 497 nucleotides. RefSeq lists it as uncharacterized. The record is from RefSeq and is a predicted model, not a curated record. Lineage: Eukaryota; Metazoa; Chordata; Aves; Charadriiformes; Laridae. The transcript is spliced from 3 exons.
AGCCAUCCAGUUCCUGCCUGGCGUUAAGCAUCACCACACUCCAGUCUUCCCGGCCGAGGAUCUAUUUCAUACCAUUCAGCUGAACGACACCCGACUUAGCGGGAAAAGUUCCUCCGUCUGGUUCAGCGCCUGGUCACACAGAGUUUUCCUGGCACAAGGGAGGGGAAAGAGCACUUUGGCGUGGAGGGGAAAUGAGCAACGGAGGGCGAAAGGUGGCUGCCUGGCUGUUACAAUUUAUCAUGAACGCAUCUCACUUCACUUUUGGCUCCUCUGACGGAAGGAACAGCCGGUCUCCGGGAGGUCAAAGACAUUAUUUUCCCCUCGUCUUUCUCAGUUUCCAGCACAUAUUUGUCACUUUGAAAAAGCAUGAAUUCUGGAUUUGAUGCACUUUAAUUGAUUUCACCCUCAACAAGUCCAACUGUCCAUCAACCUUUCCUUUUUCUUUCCUCUCCCUUUUCCCCUUCUUUAUUUCUUUCCUCUGUCCCUUUACUUUGAGA